Molecule: transfer RNA, 72 nt
Filed under: Cordylochernes scorpioides
Lineage: Eukaryota; Metazoa; Arthropoda; Arachnida; Pseudoscorpiones; Chernetidae
Description: tRNA-OTHER
Rfam family: tRNA
About the family: Transfer RNA (tRNA) molecules are approximately 80 nucleotides in length. Their secondary structure includes four short double-helical elements and three loops (D, anti-codon, and T loops).
Source: RNAcentral
UCCAGGGUAGCCUAGUGGACAUGGCAUCUGCCCGGAAGCGGAACACUGUGGGUUCGAUUCCCAUCCCUGGAC